CGAUUUUACUUCCGAGUUGACUUUCCCUUCCGAUUUGGACCAAUUUCUGGGUAUUAAAUUGUUACGACUCGCAGACAAAGGGCGCUGAGAAUCUGUGUUGUCAACAAUGGGAACACGAACACCCACACGCAUUGUAAACGGGUGACAAAUCGCAUCUUUCGGCAAGAUCAAGCGAUCACAACAAAGUGCCAACAGGGCCAAUAGGGGAAAACUGUAUUCCCAACAAAUAAUUGCUUAUCGUUUGUUUGGCGGACGAAGGCUGCUGCGGCUGAUAAUGUCAUUAUCCUGGACGCAAAAGGAAAAAGGAGUCGGAGUCCUGCUCACCGCAUGACGUCACCAGGGAAGCUGAAAUAUACAUGUUCUUCCUUAAGGACUAUAAUUUUGCCCAUAAGUGUAUAUGCGCCUCAUUCACCUUCGGUAGGACAGGCCGACAAAUUGACGCAAAACAUUUAACGCGGGGGAUCUCGGGAUUGGGUCGGCGGACAUGGUCGAACGGCAGACGGGAGCGAGGAGUGAGGGGUGAGGAAAGGACCACAGGACGACGGUGCCGGCUCUUUCUAUGGGCCACAAAAAAUUCCUUUGAAUUGCGUCCGUUGCAGCAGAAACACACAAACACGGCGAUAUGUGUUUUCCGUAUUUUUUGUUGCCUGCGGCCUGUGGCUAUGCGCAAAAAAGGACAUCUCCUCCGGCGGUUGCUCCGGUGGCAGGAUGACUGGCGGUCCACAGGAUCGGUGGUUCGGACGUUCAGAGGUUCGGAGGUUUUUGUGGGCCCUCUAUUAUGCAUUGCGUACGGCCUCACCCGGCGUGUUGACAUUUUUAUUCCAAACAGUUGAGCAAUAUUUAUAAACUGCCCGGGAAAAAAGGAGCAAGGAGGAUGUGGAUGAGGAGGUCAUGGUGCAUGAUGCAUGCCCAAUGGCUUUAUUUCCGGGUGACCAUGUAAAAUGUCCUCGUGGUUUGCUGCUUAUUAAAUGAGCUAUUUGAUUAACAUUGUUCUGUGCUUGCUGUUUCGCUAAUGAAAGAACAAACGCGAAUAUUUGGCCUGUAGGCACAGAGGUCACAAGGCAAAAACCAUGGACAGCCAUUUUAAACAUUUAUCAGAAAAUAUAUGUUCCAUAUUUUAUGCAUGUUAGGAACCUCUUCCACUGAGAAAGUUCAGUCUUGUUAAGUAGAAACCGAACUGUAUACACAACUAAAUUUUAAACAUUUUAUUGCAAGAUACCAUUAAAAUUUUGGAAGAAAUAUUUUUGAAUAAUCAUAUGUUGUGUUAUGCUUGUAUUCCGAUAUUUAAUGACACCCUAAGGUUAUUAAAUGAGCAAUUUUAAACGAUGUUUUACAUUUUAAAGAUAUUCCUAUUUUUAAUUAUAGUCUGGCAAAGACAGCCUUUACCGAAAUUAAUUUAAUAUAUAUAUUUUAAGAUGUUCCUAUUCAUAGUUAAAGUCUGGCUAGGACAGCCUUAAACAUUCAUUAACUUCCCACUAAUAGUAGUGUUCAUAAACUAACAUUUCUCAAUUAACCGUGAAUGUACAAUUUUGCUUGCCACUCAAUUACUUUGUUUUUCUUUGGCAGCUUAUUAAAUGUCAUAUUUUGCAUGCCCAGGAGCAAGACAAAGUCUGUGAGAUUGCGGCUCUGGAAUUGUUGAUGUUUGCACUGGCGAAACACCUUGGAGACUGGGAACGAGAUGAUCUAAUUGAAUGACAAUAUUAUGCCAAGGCCUAAUUCAAUUUGCAAUUCGCAUCGCUUGGAAAGCGCUGCAGGUGGAGGAACAUGGCUGGAACAUGGGUUGAAUCUUAAACAAACACGGCAAUUACAGCAAACGGAUGCACUUGUCUGGCCAAAUGACUUGGGCCUGCUCUGUAAUUAGCCCGGGGACGAAAGGAUGCGGGAUGGGCUUCUGUUGGCCCUUUGUCGGCCUCCUCGGGGGUCCCGCCUAAUUAUCACAUUUUUACUCAUUAAAUUCACAUUUGCUUGUUUUUCUCCCCCGUUUCUUUUUUGGUUUUUUUUGGCAGGGCCGAACCCGCUGCCUAAUUACAGGGUAAUCAGGCUUUCAGCCGCCGUGGCUACCGAAUGAUGAUUGAUUCAAGGAUGGAGGAGUAUGCUAAAAAGCCAGAAAAUUCCCUACUUACCAACUCAUUUUCAUUUCAGGUGACAUCUGCCCAAGCGCGUGCCAAACAAAGGGAAAAAAACACAGAGAGGAAAGUGCAAACAGCAGCUGAAAUGGAUAUGGAAAGCAGGAACGUAGUCGAGGAAAAAGCAAAUCGAAAACUGAUUUGGAGCGGAAGUUCGUUUGCACCUUUCUGCAGUUUCCUGUAUUUGCCGCCGCCGCCGCCAGAACAAUAAACACACACAAGCUGCGGCAUCCACAAUUCCACAAUCUACAGCCACUUCCAUAUCCACAAUCGCAAUCAGAAUCGCCGAGUGUUCCAUAUAGUACGAGUACCUUAACUUGUCUUGCCCUUUGACGCCGCCUUUUGUACUAAGAGAGUUGAGAUGGGAAAUGGGAUCUGAAUGGAAUGGAGAUUGAGACGAAGUCACCGCCCGUUGGCUUUUGAAUGAGCUGCAAAUCUAAAGCUAUGCGCGAUUUCGCAAAAGUACAGAUUAAGGAUAUGCGUGUGCAGGCAGAAAAAUAAUGAAGUACUUCACAAUUGGUAUCGGUAUUGAAGGAGCACACAUUUUUGAACUACAUUAUGUCUUUUAAUAUAUAUAAGUGUCUUAUUAGGGUGAUAGUUAUAUGUAGACAUUUAAAAAAUAUCAGAAAUGUUUAUGUAAGCGAUGUUGUUUUAUACGAUUCCAUUAAUAGUGCAAAAUGUAUAAUGAUUUCUUUAUCUAAAUUUUCUUUCCAUGUAUGCAAAAGCAAGGAGCACGGAUUCCUGGCAGCUGCUCCUUCGAAACGCUGUAUUUGAUUUGCGAUUCGAGGCAGGCGGAAAUGGAAUGACACGCGAGGCACUCUUACUUUGUUUGAGGAUUGGCAAAAAUGGUGCCUCCAUUGCCCGACAAAAAACAGAAGGAACCAAGGACCAAGGACCCGUGAGCCGUAAGAGACUUCCACUUGAGCCGCACGCAUUGUUUGCAUUUGCGAGUCGGAGGGGCGUGCUGGAAAUCGGAUAUAGGAUCGCUCGCUCGAGACAAUCAAAUAGCGCAGCGGAGUUUUCCAAUCCACUGAGCAGCCGCAAUCGGCGAGGGAAUCAGCUGCCUAUAGACCAUGAGAAGACUACUCUAUGAGGAGAUGAGGUGCCAACCCGAGCCACGCGUGUUCUAUGUCCAGUGGUCAAAAUUGGACACUGGCCGUCUCAUUAGCGCACCAAAGGUUGCAAGGUUAAUGAUGCGCACCCCGUGCUUGGGCUUCCGUCUGCCCAUCUCCACCUCCUCGGGCAAUUAUGCGACGCACUUGAGCUUGAAGGGCCACGGAGCAAAGGAGUACACAAUACAUUUUGGUCGCGCGGAUUAUACGACAUAUAAACCAAAUAAAUGGGACCCAACACCUGCAGGUGGAAAAACAUGCAAAAAUGAUCAUUGCGAGAUAUGUGAACGGGACAUGACGCCGCAGGAUGCCAAACAGAGGACGCUCCUCCAGUUGCAGUCCAAUCUCCACCACUUGCGCCUGGGUUAUCGGUGAAUAUUCCGUGACGAUGGCAAAAAUAUUGCAACGCAGCCAAAAGGGGGGAGAGAAGAAGGGGAGGACGAGUGCCAGGAAGGCCAGGAAAGGGGUCGGGGUCUGGGUCCUGGUCCAUUUCGUGUGCACGUCGUUAUCCUUGCCCCGGAUGCACAACAAUCAAAAUAAACGGCUGCCAAAUUGACCAUUGACCAAACAUCGUCAGCAGCAAAAAACGAGUAGGUGGAGGAGGAGGAGCAGAACCACUGCAGCAGGAUGUGGAGGCGAAAAACACCUCCAGGAUGUGGGUGAGUGAGUAAACCCCAUUGGACAGCGACAUCAUCUUUGCCCCCGUCACGUCGACUUCGAGCACAAUUCACGAGUCAAGCAGCCAUCACGGAAUAAACAUGAAAUUCUUUUUUGUUCAGCAAAGUGCAGGAAAAACGAUUAAAGAGAAUUCUUUAGAACUCUGCAACUUUUUUGCCGAAUACAAAACGAUUAAAAGGAUUUUUUCUGAAUGCAGGCACUCCAAUGUUUAUUCAAUAAACCCGAUCUGAGAUGCGGCACCAGGAGGAGAGGCUGCAGAGCAGAUCAGAACAGCAGCUGGCUGGCAUUCCUCCGAGAAGCAACCGUUCUGCAGUUGGCCUGGCCCAUUCAAGACAAGCCGCUGGAAUUUCUUGGUGCGUGCUCGGCACAGGCACAGUCACUGGCACAGGUUCAGAUAUGAGAUUCAGCUGGUCCAGCGUCUGCCAGCUGCGUCUCCUGAUUAUGAUAAUGGCAGUUGGACGGACUGGACCGGAUCGGGUUGGACCGGGACAGGAAUCGGUACUGGGAAUGGGAGACUGGGACCACAUCGCACCACCAGGCAGUGGAAGCCCAGCUCAGCUCAUCCCGUCUUCGCUGGCCAGUUGUGCGCAAUUGCUUUCGUUUAUGAUCGAAUGAUCGAAUGCCUGGCAGCUCCGUUGACUUUCUGAUUAAUGCAAGAAUGCUCCUUGGCGGCGUUCCUGCUUUUUGCCCGAUCCCACCACCACCGACUGCAAUUAAAAGUGGAUGCUCCUCAAUGGAAGGGUCACUGAAAAUUGGCGAAGGCAAUACACGACAUUACAGCCAAAGACAAGGUCGGAGCAUCAACAUACUUAUCCCUAUAAAUGUACUACCACAAUUAGAUCUUUUUUGUUUAACGAAACUUGAGGUUGCCCUAGGACAAAAAUAAAUAUGAGCUUAUUGUAUUGCACAUGAGAGCAUUCCCAGUUCGUCUACGACCAUGGUGCCGCAGAUUGAUUCUUGACCGGCUGCCGCCGCCUGCUGUGCCUGAUGCCCCAUGCCAGCGAAAGAAAUCCCGAACCCGAACUCGAACCCAAACCACGACCAGAUGCAGACCGAUCCGAGUAAGAAGACAAACGACAGUCGCCAGCUAGCCUCGUGCCUCCAGUUGUCAUAACGUUCAACACAUCGCGCCCCUCGGUGGCGUCUUUCGUCUUGGCCACAUCCACAUCCACAACCACAUCCUCGCCCGACUCCGAUUUCUGUGCGCUGCCAUAAAAGGAUUUGUCACGUGCGAGCUUUUGUUGAAAAUGCAACAAUCAUCAGCCUGCAUUAUGCAUGGCGCAUUGCCAGGUCGGACAUCGUAUCUCGGCAUUCCUGGCGAUCCCUCUCCAGCACUCCUGCUCCAUCACAUGCUCUCCUCCGGCAGCAGAUCAUUGAAAUUUAUAAUUAAGUGGAAAUAUGUUGUCUACGAUGGCAACAAGGAUCUCAGAUUGCUGGCGGAGAUAUGAAUUCCUUUCGGAAGAUACAGAAACAGAGCCCUCAUUGGAAUAACAAAUGCAUUAGCAGGCCAAACAAGGACCUAAUAAUGUCCUCGUCGGGGGAAUGUGAAUGGAAAUCCAUUUAACAAAGAAUGGAAUGGGCUGGGUCUCAUCCACAAUUACCGUUAGGCACACACACCACACACAGGGACAAACAAGGACAUGCCAGCCUGGCUAAUUCAUGACUUUAAGGACACUUUGGCAAACAAUCGAAUGGGCCAAGGCGAAGGCGAUGGAAUAUUCACUUUGCAAUUGAUUAUGCAUGAGUGUUUUGUCGUGUGCGGUUUGUGUGCGUGCCAAUCAACUGGGUAGAAUCAAUCAAAAUGCAAUAGGAUUGCCCUGCCAAUCAAAGGCAAAGCCGAGAAAAGAGCUACCACCCCCACAGAAGUCACUUGUCCCGCUGGAGUAGCUGCCUCGGAGUUUAAAUCCAAGGCAGCCGGAUCCUGGCCAGUAUUUUCGGACCACAUCAGGACAAAUAGCCAGACCCCAGGUAACCAGGACAAACACUCAAACGUCCAGCGAAGCGUUGCGAAAGGGCCAAAGGAGAUAUAGGAGUACUUGGAGAAAAACCCUAUCAAAGUUUGUAAGUAACUCUUAGUUCUUUGGUAUUUAAUUAGGUAUGUUCUAUAAAUGAUAUGCAAAUGUUUUUUCAAAAUUUAAUUAUUAAUUAUGUCCGAUUGAUAUGAAAUUUGAUAUGUGGGUGGGAACCUUUAAAAUAUGUAAUUUUCCUUGCGGUCAGAGAAAUCUAUCUAUGAAACUGUGGCUUUUACAAACUGUGUUUUCUUCUAUAAAGUAACACCAUUUCUUUCACUGUGUA
This is a non-coding RNA of Drosophila suzukii, 6211 nucleotides long. NCBI's taxonomy places the organism in Eukaryota, Metazoa, Arthropoda, Insecta, Diptera, Drosophilidae. The record is from RefSeq and is a predicted model, not a curated record.